AGGUUCUUUUUCAUUAACUUCAUCCUUUACUCUUCACAAUGUACUGCUGGUUCCUUCCUUUAAACACAACUUGAUUUCUGUCCACAAGUUAGUAAAACAGUUGCACUGUAUAGUUUUGUUUACUCCAACUUCCUGUUUACUCCACAUGAUACAGGACCCUUCUCUGAAGAGGCUUCUGGAUCUUGGUAAAGAGGAAGCUGGCCUAUACAAACUGUCUUGG
RNAcentral lists this long non-coding RNA (220 nucleotides) under Nicotiana benthamiana. Its description in RNAcentral is "long non-coding RNA (NBEN_LNC016977)". Lineage: Eukaryota; Viridiplantae; Streptophyta; Magnoliopsida; Solanales; Solanaceae. The record is from RNAcentral.